This 1021-nucleotide long non-coding RNA is filed under the name Equus asinus (donkey). Its description in RNAcentral is "lncRNA (ENSEASG00005026813.1)". The record is from RNAcentral. Lineage: Eukaryota; Metazoa; Chordata; Mammalia; Perissodactyla; Equidae.
GAACAUUCUCUCCAUGGCCCCCACAAGCCAGAUGUCUACUGAAGAUGUGUGCGACCUACAUUGUGCUUCUGUGAUCCACAUCAUGCAAAGAACCAGCCAGAAAAAGAUACUUUGAAACAAUAAAUAAUUAAAAGGAUGAUUAGACUGGCAGAGAGCUCCUGUUGGUGAGGAAGAGAGCAGAAGAGAAGCCAUCUGUCACCGGAAGUAGGAUCCCAGGGAAAGAGAGAUGCUUAUGGAACAUUUUUAAAAACAUUUGUGGUAUGACAUGGAAUGUAACCACCUCCCUCUGACCUCCACCAAGAAAUAUUGUAAAAGUCUACAAAACCCAUCAAAACUUUGGGUGUCAGUGAUGUGAGGAAAUUGGAACCAUUGUUCACUUUUGGUGGGAAUGUAAAAUGUACAGCUAUUAUGGAAAACAGUAUGAAAAUUUCUCCAAAAAUUGAACAUAGAAUUACCAUACGAUCCAGCAAUUACACUGGUAUGUAUCCAAAAGAAUUGGAGGCAGAGUCUAAAAGAGAUAUAUGUACACCCAUGUUCAUAACGCAUUAUUCACAAUAGCCAAAAAGUGGAAGCAACUCAAGUGUCCAUUGACAGGUGAAUGGAUAAACAAAAUGUGAUAUAGCCAUACAAUGGAAUAUUAUUCAGUCUUAAAAAGGAAGGAUGGGUCCGGCCCCGUGGCCAAGUGGUUAAGUUCGCGCACUCCGCUGCAAGUGGCCCAGUGUUCGGUUCGAAUCCUGGGUGUGGACAUGGCACUGCUCAUCGAGCCACACUGAGGCAGCGUCCCACAUGCCACAACUAGAAGGACCCACAACUAAGAAUAUACAGCUAUGUACCAGGGGGCUUUGGGGAGAAAAAGGAAAAAAAUAAAAUCUUUAAAAAAAAAAAGAAAAGGAAGGAAAUUCUGAUACAUGACACAUGUUGUAACAUGGAUGAAGCUUGAGCACAUUAUGCUAAGUGAAAUGAACUAGUCGCAACGAGACGAAUACUGUAUGAUUCCACUUAUAUGAGGUCCCUAGAGUAG